UAUGGCCAUAUCAUGUUGAAACAUUGGUUCCCAUAUGAUCACCAAAGAUAAGCAAUGUUAAGUCUGGUCAGUACCUAGAUGGGUGUUUGCUUGAGAAUACCAUGUGAUGUA
Molecule: non-coding RNA, 111 nt
Organism: Acanthosepion pharaonis
Lineage: Eukaryota; Metazoa; Mollusca; Cephalopoda; Sepiida; Sepiidae
Source: the annotation of a GenBank genome assembly